UACGGAGGAUCCGAGCGUUAUCCGGAUUUAUUGGGUUUAAAGGGUGCGUAGGCGGACUGGUAAGUCAGUUGUGAAAGCUUACGGCUCAACCGGGAAACUGCAGUUGAUACUGUUGGUCUUGAGUAUAUAUGAGGUGGGCGGAAUAUGUGGUGUAGCGGUGAAAUGCUUAGAUAUCACAAGGAACUCCAAUUGCGAAGGCAGCUCACUGGGGUAUAACUGACGCUGAUGCACGAAAGUGUGGGUAUCAAACAGG
RNAcentral lists this ribosomal RNA (253 nucleotides) under uncultured bacterium. RNAcentral describes it as "partial 16S ribosomal RNA". It matches the Rfam family "Bacterial small subunit ribosomal RNA", at positions 524 to 776 of the family's 1533-position model. The record is from RNAcentral.